AUGCUAAACAUCCUAAUAACUCACCUAAUCAACCCUCUAGCCUAUAUCGUACCUGUACUUCUAGCAGUAGCCUUCCUAACACUAAUUGAACGAAAAGUACUAGGAUAUAUGCAACUACGAAAAGGACCAAACGUGGUAGGCCCCUACGGACUACUACAACCCAUCGCCGACGGAGUAAAACUCUUCAUUAAAGAACCCGUCCGCCCAUCCACAUCAUCCCCAUUCCUAUUCCUAGCCGCCCCAGUACUUGCAUUAACCCUAGCCAUAACCUUAUGAGCACCAAUACCUAUACCCCACCCAGUAACUGACCUCAACCUGGGAAUCCUAUUUAUUCUAGCCCUAUCAAGCCUUGCGGUAUACUCAAUCCUAGGGUCAGGAUGAGCAUCAAAUUCAAAAUAUGCAUUAAUCGGAGCCCUACGGGCCGUAGCCCAAACAAUUUCGUAUGAAGUUAGCCUAGGACUAAUCCUCUUAUCCGUAAUUAUCUUCUCAGGAGGAUAUACCCUACAAACAUUUAACAUCACCCAAGAAAGCAUUUGACUUCUCAUCCCUGCCUGACCUUUAGCCGCAAUAUGAUAUAUCUCAACAUUAGCCGAAACAAACCGAGCACCAUUCGACCUAACAGAAGGAGAAUCAGAACUGGUAUCCGGCUUCAACGUAGAAUAUGCAGGAGGACCCUUCGCACUCUUCUUCCUAGCCGAAUACGCCAACAUCCUUCUAAUAAACACCCUCUCAGCCGUCCUAUUUUUAGGAGCCUCACAUAUUCCAAGCAUACCAGAACUUACGACAAUUAAUCUCAUAACUAAAGCCGCACUACUCUCUAUUAUAUUCCUAUGAGUACGAGCCUCGUACCCACGAUUCCGAUACGACCAACUAAUACACUUAGUAUGAAAAAAAAACUUCCUUCCCCUCACACUCGCCUUUGUACUAUGACACACUGCCCUACCAAUUGCACUAGCAGGGCUCCCUCCACAACUAUAAUUAAGGAACUGUGCCUGAGCACCUAAGGACCACUUUGAUAGAGUGAAUUUCAGGGGUUUAAAAUCCCCUCAGUUCCUAGAAAGAAGGGAAUUGAACCCAUACUCAAGAGAUCAAAACUCUUGGUGCUUCCUUUACACCACUUUCUAAAGGCGGGGUCAGCUAAUAAAGCUUUCGGGCCCAUACCCCGAACAUGACGGUUAAAGUCCCUCCUCCGCCAAUGAACCCAUAUGUACUCGCAACCCUAUUAUCCAGCCUAGGGCUAGGAACCACCCUAACCUUUGCUAGCUCUCACUGACUCCUAGCUUGAAUGGGCCUAGAAAUUAAUACGCUAGCAAUCACCCCCCUAAUGGCACAACAUCACCACCCUCGUGCAGUAGAAGCAACUACAAAAUAUUUCUUAACCCAAGCCACCGCCGCGGCAAUAAUCCUGUUCGCAAGCACAACAAAUGCCUGAAUAACAGGAGAAUGAAGCAUCAAUGACCUGUCGAACCCCAUCGCCAGCACAAUAUUUAUAGCUGCCUUAGCACUUAAAAUUGGACUUGCACCAAUACACUUCUGAAUACCAGAAGUUCUACAAGGAUUAGACCUGCUAACAGGACUCAUCUUAUCCACCGACCAAAAACUCGCCCCAUUCGCGCUUAUUAUCCAAACAGCACAAACCAUCGACCCACUGCUACUAACACUAUUAGGAAUUUCAUCCACAUUAGUUGGAGGAGAGGGGGAUUAAAUCAAACCCAACUACGAAAAAUCCUGGCCUACUCUUCAAUCGCACACAUAGGAUGAAUAAUUAUUGUAAUCCAAUACGCCCCACAACUCACCCUAAUUGCACUAGGAACAUAUAUUAUCAUAACCUCCGCAGCAUUCCUGACCCUAAAAAUAUCACUAACAACCAAAAUCAGCACACUCGCAACAACCUGAUCAAAAAGCCCUAUCCUGACAUCAACAACUGCCCUAGUCCUACUCUCACUAGGAGGCCUACCACCAUUAACAGGAUUUAUACCAAAAUGACUAAUUCUACAAGAACUAACAAAACAAGACCUCCCAAUUAUUGCCACAGCCAUAGCCCUAACCGCCCUAAUUAGCCUAUACUUCUACCUACGCCUAUGCUACGCAAUAACACUGACUAUUUCCCCCAAUAUGAUUAACUCAACAACCCCCUGACGAACCCAAACAACCCAAACCUCUCUACCCUUAGCCCUAUUUACCACAGCCGCCCUCGGACUCCUACCAAUAGCCCCAGCUAUCCUAAUACUAACCACCUAGGGAUUUAGGAUAACAUUAGACCAAAAGCCUUCAAAGCUUUAAGUAGAAGUGAAAAUCUUCUAAUCCCUGAUUAAGGCCUACAAGAUAUUAACUUGCAUCUCCUGAUUGCAAAUCAGACACUUUUAUUAAGCUAAGGCCUUACUAGAUGGGAAGGCCUCGAUCCUACAAACUUUUAGUUAACAGCUAAACGCUCAAGCCAGCGAGCAUCCAUCUACUUUUCCCGCCGUUUAACUCAGUAAGGCGGGAAAAGCCCCGGCAGAAUAUUAAUCUGCGUCUUCGGAUUUGCAAUCCAAUGUGUUCUUCACCACGGAGCUGAUAGGAAGAGGACUCAAAAACCUCUGUCUUCGGGGCUACAACCCACCGCCUAAGCACUCGGGCUACCCUACCUGUGGCAAUCACGCGCUGAUUCUUCUCUACCAACCACAAAGACAUUUGGCACCCUUUAUCUUGUAUUUGGUGCCUGAGCCGGAAUAGUAGGAACCCGCCUUAAGCCUCCUCAUUCGGGUCGAACUUAGCCAACCCGGGUCGCUUCUAGGUGAUGACCAAAUUUAUAACGUUAUCGUCACUGCCCACGCCUUUGUAAUAAUUUUCUUUAUAGUAAUGCCUAUCCUUAUUGGAGGAUUUGGAAACUGACUUGUACCACUAAUAAUCGGAGCCCCAGACAUAGCAUUCCCACGAAUAUAAUAACAUAAGCUUCUGACUACUACCCCCAUCAUUCCUUCUACUCCUAGCUUCUUCUGGUGUUGAAGCUGGAGCUGGAACAGGAUGAACCGUAUACCCACCUCUUGCAGGGAACUUAGCCCACGCAGGAGCAUCAGUAGACCUAACAAUUUUCUCACUUCACCUAGCAGGUGUUUCAUCAAUUCUAGGGGCAAUCAACUUUAUUACUACAACCAUCAACAUGAAACCCCCAGCCAUCUCUCAAUACCAAACACCCCUGUUCGUCUGAUCCGUGCUUGUAACCGCCGCCGUAUUGCUCCUUCUAUCAUUACCUGUUUUUUAGCCGCAGGAAUUACAAUGCUCCUAACAGACCGAAACCUUAAUACCACAUUCUUUGACCCGGCAGGAGGAGGAGACCCAAUCCUUUAUCAACACUUAUUCUGAUUCUUCGGCCACCCAGAAGUUUAUAUUCUCAUCCUCCCAUGAUUCGGUAUCAUCUCCCAUGUUGUAGCCUAUUAUUCAGGCAAAAAAAGAACCGUUCGGUUACAUAGGAAUGGUCUGAGCCAUGAUGGCCAUCGGUCUACUAGGGUUUAUUGUGUGAGCUCACCACAUGUUCACUGUUGGAAUAGACGUAGAUACUCGAGCAUAUUUUACAUCCGCAACAAUAAUUAUCGCAAUUCCAACAGGUGUAAAAAGUAUUUAGCUGAUUAGCCACACUCCACGGAGGAUCCAUUAAAUGAGAAACACCAAUACUAUGGGCUCUAGGGUUUAUUUUCCUAUUCACAGUAGGGGGGACUCACAGGGAUCGUCCUAUCCAAUUCAUCACUUGAUAUUGUCCUUCACGACACUUACUACGUAGUAGCACACUUCCACUAUGUACUAUCAAUGGGUGCUGUAUUUGCUAUUAUGGCAGCCUUUGUGCAUUGAUUCCCCCUAUUAACUGGAUAUACUCUCCACAGCACCUGAACAAAAAAUCCACUUUGGAGUUAGUUUUAUUGGAGUUAACCUCACGUUCUUCCCACAACACUUCCUAGGCUUAGCCGGUAUGCCACGGCGAUACUCCGACUAUCCAGAUGCCUACGCCCUGUGAAAUACAGUAUCAUCCAUUGGAUCGCUAAUUUCCCCUAGUAGCAGUAAUCAUAUUCCUAUUUAUCCUAUGAGAAGCCUUCGCCGCUAAACGAGAAGUACUAUCUGUAGAACUAACAGCAACAAAUGUAGAAUGACUUCACGGCUGGCCUCCUCCUUAUCACACAUACGAGGAACCAGCAUUCGUUCAAAUUCAAUCAAAAUUAACGAGAAAGGGAGGAAUUGAACCCCCAUAUGCUGGUUUCAAGCCAGCCACAUAACCACUCUGUCACUUCCUUCUAAA
Molecule: RNA transcript, 4270 nt
Organism: Cyprinus carpio (common carp)
Lineage: Eukaryota; Metazoa; Chordata; Actinopteri; Cypriniformes; Cyprinidae
Gene name: NADH-ubiquinone oxidoreductase chain 1-like
Exons: 1
Source: RefSeq, a predicted model, not a curated record